This 468-nucleotide ribosomal RNA is filed under the name uncultured bacterium. RNAcentral describes it as "partial 16S ribosomal RNA". It matches the Rfam family "Bacterial small subunit ribosomal RNA", at positions 28 to 507 of the family's 1533-position model. The record is from RNAcentral.
GACGAACGCUGGCGGCGUGCUUAACACAUGCAACUCGAACGGAAAGGCCCUGCUUUUGUGGGGUGCUCGAGUGGCGAACGGGUGAGUAACACGUGAGUAACCUGCCCUUGACUUUGGGAUAACUUCAGGAAACUGGGGCUAAUACCGGAUAGGAGCUCCUGCUGCAUGGUGGGGGUUGGAAAGUUUCGGCGGUUGGGGAUGGACUCGCGGCUUAUCAGCUUGUUGGUGGGGUAGUGGCUUACCAAGGCUUUGACGGGUAGCCGGCCUGAGAGGGUGACCGGCCACAUUGGGACUGAGAGACGGCCCAGACUCCUACGGGAGGCAGCAGUGGGGAAUAUUGCACAAUGGGCGGAAACCUGAUGCAGCAACGCCGCGUGCGGGAUGACGGCCUUCGGGUUGUAAACCGCUUUCGCCUGUGACGAAGCGUGAGUGACGGUAAUGGGUAAAGAAGCACCGGCUAACUACGUG